RNAcentral lists this ribosomal RNA (505 nucleotides) under uncultured bacterium. RNAcentral's name for it is "partial 16S ribosomal RNA". It matches the Rfam family "Bacterial small subunit ribosomal RNA", at positions 28 to 507 of the family's 1533-position model. The record is from RNAcentral.
GACGAACGCUGGCGGCGUGCCUAAUACAUGCAAGUAGAACGCACAGUUUAUACCGUAGCUUGCUACACCAUAGACUGUGAGUUGCGAACGGGUGAGUAACGCGUAGGUAACCUGCCUGGUAGCGGGGGAUAACUAUUGGAAACGAUAGCUAAUACCGCAUAAUAUUAAUUAUUGCAUGAUAAUUGAUUGAAAGAUGCAACUGCAUCACUACCAGAUGGACCUGCGUUGUAUUAGCUAGUAGGUGAGGUAACGGCUCACCUAGGCGACGAUACAUAGCCGACCUGAGAGGGUGAUCGGCCACACUGGGACUGAGACACGGCCCAGACUCCUACGGGAGGCAGCAGUAGGGAAUCUUCGGCAAUGGACGAAAGUCUGGCCGAGCAACGCCGCGUGAGUGAAGAAGGUUUUCGGAUCGUAAAGCUCUGUUGUAAGAGAAGAACGGGUGUGAGAGUGGAAAGUUCACACUGUGACGGUAUCUUACCAGAAAGGGACGGCUAACUACGUG